This 501-nucleotide ribosomal RNA is filed under the name uncultured bacterium. Its description in RNAcentral is "partial 16S ribosomal RNA". It matches the Rfam family "Bacterial small subunit ribosomal RNA", at positions 30 to 523 of the family's 1533-position model. The record is from RNAcentral.
AUUGAACGCUGGCGGCAUGCCUUACACAUGCAAGUCGAACGGCAGCACGGGUGCUUGCACCUGGUGGCGAGUGGCGAACGGGUGAGUAAUACAUCGGAACGUACCUUAUCGUGGGGGAUAACGCAGCGAAGGCUGUGCUAAUACCGCAUACGCCCUGAGGGGGAAAGCGGGGGAUCGCAAGACCUCGCGCGAUUAGAGCGGCCGAUGCCUGAUUAGCUUGUUGGUGGGGUAAAAGCCCACCAAGGCGACGAUCAGUAGCUGGUCUGAGAGGACGAUCAGCCACACUGGGACUGAGACACGGCCCAGACUCCUACGGGAGGCAGCAGUGGGUAAUUUUGGACAAUGGGGGCAACCCUGAUCCAGCAAUGCCGCGUGAGUGAAGAAGGCCUUCGGGUUGUAAAGCUCUUUUGUCAGGGAAGAGACACCGGCUCUAACACAGUCCGGGAAUGACGGUACCUGAAGAAUAAGCACCGGCUAACUACGUGCCAGCCGCCGCAGUAA